GAACUGAAGAGUUUGAUCCUGGCUCAGAUUGAACGCUGGCGGCAUGCCUUACACAUGCAAGUCGAACGGCAGCACGGGUGCUUGCACCUGGUGGCGAGUGGCGAACGGGUGAGUAAUACAUCGGAACAUGUCCUGUAGUGGGGGAUAGCCCGGCGAAAGCCGGAUUAAUACCGCAUACGAUCCAUGGAUGAAAGCGGGGGACCUUCGGGCCUCGCGCUAUAGGGUUGGCCGAUGGCUGAUUAGCUAGUUGGUGGGGUAAAGGCCUACCAAGGCGACGAUCAGUAGCUGGUCUGAGAGGACGACCAGCCACACUGGGACUGAGACACGGCCCAGACUCCUACGGGAGGCAGCAGUGGGGAAUUUUGGACAAUGGGCGAAAGCCUGAUCCAGCAAUGCCGCGUGUGUGAAGAAGGCCUUCGGGUUGUAAAGCACUUUUGUCCGGAAAGAAAUCCCUGGCUCUAAUACAGUCGGGGGAUGACGGUACCGGAAGAAUAAGCACCGGCUAACUACGUGCCAGCAGCCGCGGUAAUACGUAGGGUGCGAGCGUUAAUCGGAAUUACUGGGCGUAAAGCGUGCGCAG
Molecule: ribosomal RNA, 580 nt
Filed under: Burkholderia multivorans
Lineage: Bacteria; Pseudomonadati; Pseudomonadota; Betaproteobacteria; Burkholderiales; Burkholderiaceae
Description: bacterial SSU rRNA
Rfam family: Bacterial small subunit ribosomal RNA
Source: RNAcentral